UUCAGUUGGUUUUGUUUACUUGGAUAUAUAUAAACAUGGUUUUGUGAAGUUAAUUAAAACACGUGGUUUCAUGAAAAAUAAAGGAUAUAUGAUUUUGUAAAUUGGAAAUGAUUUUCUACCCCUCGUGGUAGCGUGCUUUAAAAAGAAAAGGCUUUCGUGUAGGAAAUGGUUUUAAAAAGGUUUUAUUGGCUUUUCAACUCUUGGUGUUUCAAAAUGAGCUUCCGGGUGGGAAACGUUUUAAACUAAUAGUCGUGGAUUUAUGAAUUGAACUAUGAAUGGUAAAUCUGUGAUGAAUGGUGAAUGAAUAUUGAUUGUUGUUUAUUCAUUAUGGUGGUUGUAUCCUGGUUAUAUUCUUGUACUUGUGCGACGCCGUGCAAAUACUGGGGAGACUCUGUCCAUGUGAACAGUGGAUUUUCUGUAUUUGUAGCGGAUCUGGCAUACCCUGGGGUCAGGUUUUAAAAAAAAAAAAAUUUCUGCU
Molecule: long non-coding RNA, 478 nt
Filed under: Ananas comosus (pineapple)
Lineage: Eukaryota; Viridiplantae; Streptophyta; Magnoliopsida; Poales; Bromeliaceae
Description: long non-coding RNA (ACOM_LNC030693)
Source: RNAcentral